This 550-nucleotide ribosomal RNA is filed under the name uncultured archaeon. RNAcentral's name for it is "bacterial SSU rRNA". It matches the Rfam family "Archaeal small subunit ribosomal RNA", at positions 327 to 879 of the family's 1478-position model. The record is from RNAcentral.
CGGGUGCAGCAGGCGCGAAACCUUUGCAAUACACGAAAGUGUGACAGGGUCAUCCCGAGUGCCGACCGCUGAGGUUGGCUUUUACCCAGUCUAGAAAGCUGGGGGAAUAAGGAGAGGGCAAGUCUGGUGUCAACCGCCGCGGUAAUACCAGCUCUCCGAGUGGUGUGGACGUUUAUUGGGCCUAAAGCACCCGUAGCUGGCUGAACAAGUCCCCUGUUAAACCCACCGAUUUAAUCGUUGGCUUGCGGGGGAUACUGCUCGGCUAGGGGACGAGAGAGGCAGACGGUAUUCCCGGGGUAGGGGUGAAAUCCUAUAAUCCCGAGAAGACCACCAGUGGCGAAGGCUGUCUGCUAGAACGCGCCCGACGGUGAGGGAUGAAAGCUGGGGGAGCGAACCGGAUUAGAUACCCGGGUAGUCCCAGCUGUAAACGAUGCAGACUAGGUGUUUGGACGGCCACGUGCCGUUCUAGUGCCGCAGGGAAGCUGUUAAGUCUGCCGCCUGGGGAGUACGAUCGCAAGAUUGAAACUUAAAGGAAUUGGCGGGGGAGCAC